GAAUUGGUUUGACAGCUUUUAUUUGAUCCUGUGAAGUUAUAUUUCUGCUUGAAUCCUUAGUUGUUGCAUUAGUUGAAAGUGUUGUUCUUAAUGCUGCAGGAAUCAAAAGCAUGGACAAUACUUGCAGGAAUGACUGCUCCUCAAGCUGCCGGAGUCAUUCACUCUGAUUUUGAGAAAGGCUUCAUUCGUGCUGAGAUGGUAUCCUAUGAUGAUUUUGUCGCGGCUGGUUCACUAGCAGCAGCAAGAGAGAAAAGACUUGUAAGUUAUUUCAUUGUUAUUAGCAUAUAAACUUCAAAUCCGUAAUAAAUUUCCUGAAUGGUAUUUGCUUAAUACCUACCAUGAGGUUCACUUCUGCUAUCAGGAAAGUAAGAUUGUUUUGCAUGCAUUUAUUCUAUCUUAAAAUGGUGAAACUCUUCCUUGGUCCCUAUCUAUGUUGCAGUGAUUCUCUUCAUUUUUCUUAAA
Long non-coding RNA from Hibiscus syriacus, 462 nucleotides. RefSeq lists it as uncharacterized. The transcript is spliced from 3 exons. The record is from RefSeq and is a predicted model, not a curated record. Lineage: Eukaryota; Viridiplantae; Streptophyta; Magnoliopsida; Malvales; Malvaceae.